RNAcentral lists this ribosomal RNA (371 nucleotides) under uncultured Alphaproteobacteria bacterium. Its description in RNAcentral is "bacterial SSU rRNA". It matches the Rfam family "Bacterial small subunit ribosomal RNA", at positions 9 to 412 of the family's 1533-position model. The record is from RNAcentral. Lineage: Bacteria; Pseudomonadati; Pseudomonadota; Alphaproteobacteria.
GAGUUUGAUCCUGGCUCAGAACGAACGCUGGCGGCAGGCCUAACACAUGCAAGUCGAACGCUGUAGCAAUACGGAGUGGCAGACGGGUGCGUAACGCGUGGGAAACUUCCUUUAGUUCGGAAUAGCCCAGGGAAACUUGGAUUAAUACCGAAUACGCCCUACGGGGAAAGAUUUAUCGCUAAAGAUGUGCCCGCGUUGGAUUAGCUAGUUGGUGGGGUAAAAGCCUACCAAGGCGAUGAUCCAUAGCUGGUCUGAGAGGAUGAUCAGCCACACUGGAACUGAGACACGGUCCAGACUCCUACGGGAGCAGCAGGUGGGAAUAUUGGACAAUGGAGGCAACUCUGAUCCAGCCAUGCCGCGUGAAUGAUGAA